CGUUGCCCGGUAGCAGGAGCGGGCCGAGGCCUGUGGCUGCGGGUGAGGAAGCGGCGCCGCCGCCGCGGCGGUUUCCCCCGCGCUCCUUGGCCCCGCGGCCCGGGACUGUUGCAGCCGGGUGAGCUCCGGGAGCUGGCGAGGGCGCCCGCGGCUCGCGCUGGCCGCCUCGCACCGGGCAGCAGCGGCGCUGCCCUCCCGCCGGCGCUCGGUCCCCGUUCCAGAGGCCUCCCGGUCCCCGCUGGACGCUGAGCUCUCUGCUGCGUCCUUCCGGAUAGGAGAUCUGUAACUGAUCCUGAAGUUAGCUCGUGAUCCACCCCCUCCCCCUUAUACUUAGGGCAGAGCAAGUGCUGGGAUGCCUCAGAAGAUGGAUGAUUUUUCUGUCCGCUGGAAAACUACCCGAGUUAGCAAAGAUAUUCUGAGAAAAGAAUCCCAAGGGAAGAAAUGCUGCAGGUGCACAGAAGAGCAUUUGCGCUUGUUUGCAAAUGCAUGUCUUCAUCAAGGACAUAAGGCAGAAAGCAAGAAGCAACAGGGAUGUGGAUGUUCUCCUAACCCGCCCGAGUUUCACAUCUGAAUCAGCCACAUGGCUAAAACCUUUGCAUUAAGUUGAGGAAGAAUUGGAAAAAGUCUGCCUUGUCACAGAUGAAACCAAAUUCAUGGCUCCCCUCCCGAAGAUCAGCAUUACUGUGGUGUACCUACCUCAUAAACAGUGAUAUAUUUGAUAAGAAGAACUCAUGCUCUGAAAACAAGUUUCACAAUCACCAAGCAUACAAGCUGUCCCUAGGUAUCACCGGAGUUCCUGGGAGCCCUACCAGUAGAAUGUGAAAACAUCUUUGACAGCAUCCAGAGGAAGUAGAGAGCCAAAGGAUCAGAGCGAAUAACUGCUUGUCUAGACUUGUCACUUAGCAACAUACUAUACUCAUGGUUUUCUAUGAACAAUUUUACUUGAUCAAGUAUAUGUUCAUUGCUUGAGCGCUACUGCAAAAAAUGUUACUCAUGUUUUAAGGCAAGUCCAUGGCACUAGGGUGGCUUGUGCAGUGAAGACAAUCCUGUAAUACACCAUUUUAAUGCCUUUCUCUUAUAUAAGUUGUUUAAAACAUUAAAAUAGUUACUGUACUAUUAUUUACUGAAUGGAUCAUCAUGCUAAGAAAAACCUGCACUGAAGGAGACAGAUAAUAGUCAGAUCCCUUGGAAGAAAGAGUCUUUUCAUUUGCUUGAGGGUUUAAUACAAGUUUUAAUCAGACAAUAGUGAGUCUCAGGUUUUUCUUUCAACUCUGGGGAAUAAAGUUCUCCCUUGAAGACCGGUUGUUUUGUCUUACUAAAGUUGUUGCAGCUUGGCUUGAAGAAAGUGUUUACUGAUUAAAACUAGUGAUAAUUCUGUGGAGUUGCUGGAAAUUUUGACACGACAUUUUUUUACAAAAAGGCAAAUACUAUUUGUUUUCAUUGACAGUAUCUGUAGUAAUCAAGCCAGCUAAGUGAUACACAGAUGAUUAAGCUAUUAGUGUUUAGGCUGUGAUCACUGUUAGGGAAGUCCAGAUACCUUAAAAACUGAACAAGACUGCUUAGGUUGUUUCCUGUAAUACUGUAAAAGCUGAUCGUUACUGAUGUUUUCAUGCUUUAACGUGGCAGAUACGCUCUUUGCAAACAUCUUUUACUAUUAAAAACUGGGCAGUCUGACAAGGAAAUAACUUAAGUCUCCUUCAGCUAUUUACCUGUAACUUUGUUACAAUGUCAAGAGGUUCCAAGUCCAAAGAAGUAAAAUCAUUGCUUGUUUUGUGGUUACAAAUUGCUCAUUAACUAGUGUUACCCUUUUUAUACAGUCUGUGAGUAAUUUUAUGUCUGUGGAGCAUUUUGGAUGGUUCAAAUGACCGUUCUGCCAGUACAAGCUUCCAGCAUCAAUGAUGAGUAUAUAAUACAGCAUUUAUGUGUAGCAGCAGGCAUUUUAUAGAUAGAUAACAGGUUAGGUGAGGGCAAUGAAAUAAUGCUGGUAUUGUACAGUGAAGUGGAUGAUUAAAUUUACUCACAUAAAGUUUUGGAACUAUCUUCUAUAUAAAUAUCAGCAAAUUAAAAGGAUUUCAUUAGAGCAAUAUGAUUCUUUUUAUAGCAUUUAAGUCUCUCAAACAGUUUUUGAAAGAAAGACAAUGUGUUUGGAAGUGGCAGAGGGGGAAAUGCACCUAGAAUUCUAUUCUUUCCCCUGCCCUCUCCCCCAGAAAGGUAGCUGAAAACAUCAGCACCCUGUAAUAUUGAUGAUAGCCAACAAUGUAUUAAGGUUCCCCACCAGCUGCCAAGUGUAGUGCUUUUGAAAACCUAUCAGUUCAGGUAAAGAAGGCUGCCUGUAUGCUCAGUUUCACAGCUAAGCAGGCCUUAAAUUUUUUUCUGUUUAAAAACUUACGUAAUUGGAACACCUAAGAUUCUGCAAGAAAAACAAACAUCUCCCAGCUCCAGUGCUGAAGUUGUAUCUUGGCACAUAGUUAUAGAAUGCAAAGAAAUUGUCACAGCAGCUUUUGAAAUAUUAUCAUUUUGUGUGAAUGUAAAAUGAAUAUACCACAAGCUAGAUGUAACUGAAUUUCUCUAGGACUUCCAGAUCCUAGAAGAAUGUUGUACUAGAUAUCUGAAAUAAUUCUAAAUGUUGUACUAAAUAUCUGAAAUAACAAAUAAAAAAAAAGAA
This is a long non-coding RNA of Rhea pennata, 2665 nucleotides long. RefSeq lists it as uncharacterized. The transcript has 6 exons. The record is from RefSeq and is a predicted model, not a curated record. NCBI's taxonomy places the organism in Eukaryota, Metazoa, Chordata, Aves, Rheiformes, Rheidae.